This 388-nucleotide ribosomal RNA is filed under the name uncultured bacterium. RNAcentral's name for it is "bacterial SSU rRNA". It matches the Rfam family "Bacterial small subunit ribosomal RNA", at positions 37 to 433 of the family's 1533-position model. The record is from RNAcentral.
UGGCGGCAUGGCUUACACAUGCAAGUCGAACGGUAGAGGGGCAACCCUCGAGAGUGGCGAACGGGUGAGUAACGCAUCGGAACGUGCCCAGUCGUGGGGGAUAACACUUCGAAAGAAGUGCUAAUACCGCAUACGACCUGAGGGUGAAAGCGGGGGAUCGCAAGACCUCGCGCGAUUGGAGCGGUCGAUGUCAGAUUAGGUAGUUGGUGGGGUAAAGGCCUACCAAGCCGACGAUCUGUAGCUGGUCUGAGAGGACGACCAGCCACACUGGGACUGAGACACGGCCCAGACUCCUACGGGAGGCAGCAGUGGGGAAUUUUGGACAAUGGGCGCAAGCCUGAUCCAGCCAUGCCGCGUGCAGGAAGAAGGCCUUCGGGUUGUAAACUGC